This 285-nucleotide small nuclear RNA is filed under the name Echinops telfairi (small Madagascar hedgehog). RNAcentral describes it as "7SK RNA (ENSETEG00000024773.1)". It matches the Rfam family "7SK RNA". Rfam says of the family: 7SK was discovered as an abundant small nuclear RNA in the mid-70s but a possible function has only recently been suggested. Lineage: Eukaryota; Metazoa; Chordata; Mammalia; Afrosoricida; Tenrecidae. The record is from RNAcentral.
GGAUGUGAGGGUGCUGAGACUGAGACAUCUGUCACCCUAUUGAUGGCCGGGGUUGAUUCAGAUGCUCUGACUGGCUAAGUGGUGUCCCCUACCUCCCUCACUGCUCCAUGUGUGUACCUCCUGAAGCUGUAUGUUCAGUUAAAGAGGACAGUCUUCCCCCAAACAGAAAGGAUAUAUAAGGUCAGGGAUAUAUAAGUAGCUGCACACUCAUGCUAUAACCUCCAAAUUAGCUCUCAAAAUGGUGGCUGAAUCAGACAAAUAGAACCACCUUUAUACAACAAAGGU